GAUAUUGCACAAUGGGCGCAAGCCUGAUGCAGCAACGCCGCGUGCAUGAUGAAGGCCUUCGGGUCGUAAAAUGCUUUUCUGGCUGAGGAACAAUGACUGUAGGUCAGGAAUAAGUGUCGGCUAACUACGUGCCAGCAGCCGCGGUAAAACGUAGGACGCAAGCGUUAUCCGGAGUUACUGGGCGUAAAGCGCGGGCAGGCGGUUCUGCCAGUCUGAUGUGAAAUCUCCCGGCUCAACCGGGAGCAGCCAUUGGAAACUACAGAACUGGAGUCUGGCAGAGGUAGGCGGAAUUCCGGGUGGAGUGGUGAAAUGCGUAGAGAUCCGGAGGAACACCAGAGGCGAAGGCGGCCUACUGGGCCAGUACUGACGCUGAGCCGCGAAAGCCAGGGGAGCGAAC
RNAcentral lists this ribosomal RNA (397 nucleotides) under uncultured bacterium. RNAcentral describes it as "bacterial SSU rRNA". It matches the Rfam family "Bacterial small subunit ribosomal RNA", at positions 359 to 773 of the family's 1533-position model. The record is from RNAcentral.